Molecule: non-coding RNA, 24 nt
Filed under: Arabidopsis thaliana (thale cress)
Lineage: Eukaryota; Viridiplantae; Streptophyta; Magnoliopsida; Brassicales; Brassicaceae
Source: RNAcentral
CACGAAACAGGAGACGCGGUGAAG